This 332-nucleotide ribosomal RNA is filed under the name uncultured bacterium. RNAcentral describes it as "partial 16S ribosomal RNA". It matches the Rfam family "Bacterial small subunit ribosomal RNA", at positions 568 to 898 of the family's 1533-position model. The record is from RNAcentral.
UAUGUAGGCGGUUUAUUAAGUUUUAAUUAAAUAAUCUAAGCUUAACUUAGAAAUUAAUUAUCAUACUAUUAAACUAGAGGUUAAUGGGGGUUAGUUAUACUUUUAAUGUAAGGGUAAAAUCUUUAGAUAUUAAGAGGAUAUUCAUUGGGCGAAGGCGACUUUCCAUGUUAAUACUGACGCUGAGGUACGAAGGCAUGGGGAGCGAAUGGGAUUAGAGACCCCAGUAGUCCAUGCUGUAAAACAUGAAUGUUUUUUUUGCUUUUUUUUAUUAAAAAUUGUAAAUAAGCUAACGCGUAAGCAUUCCGCCUGGGUACUAAAGUCGCAAGGUUGAA